AGCCCCUAGCAAGACACAAGUAUUAGGGGUAAUGCCUGCCCAGUGACUCUGUUAAACGGCCGCGGUAUCCUAACCGUGCAAAGGUAGCGCAAUCACUUGUCUUUUAAAUAAAGACUAGAAUGAAUGGCCAAACGAGGUUCUACCUGUCUCUUACAAACAAUCAGUGAAAUUGAUCUUCCCGUGCAAAAGCGAGAAUAACAUUAUAAGACGAGAAGACCCUGUGGAACUUCAAAUACAAAAUCAACUAUAACCUAUGUCAACCUAACCCAGGCCUAUCAAAAUAGCAUAUGAUUUCUAUUUUCGGUUGGGGCGACCUCGGAGAAAAACAAAACCUCCGAAAAAAAGAACUUUUCUUUUUAACCUAGACUAACAACUCAAAGUGCUAUUAGCAUAAACGAUCCAAUACACUUGAUCAACGAACCAAGCUACCCCAGGGAUAACAGCGCAAUCCCAUCAUAGAGUCCCUAUCGACGAUGGGGUUUACGACCUCGAUGUUGGAUCAGGACAUCCUGAUGGUGUAGCCGAUAUCAAGGGUUCGUUUGUUCAACGAUUAACAGUCCU
This 561-nucleotide ribosomal RNA is filed under the name Gopherus polyphemus (Florida gopher tortoise). RNAcentral's name for it is "partial 16S small subunit ribosomal RNA". It matches the Rfam family "Bacterial large subunit ribosomal RNA", at positions 1817 to 2597 of the family's 2925-position model. Lineage: Eukaryota; Metazoa; Chordata; Testudines; Testudinidae. The record is from RNAcentral.